CGGAGGGUGCAAGCGUUGUCCGGAUUUAUUGGGUUUAAAGGGUGCGUAGGCGGUCGUUUAAGUCUGGGGUGAAGCCCGUUGCUCAACAACGGAACUGCCCUGGAAACUGGAUGACUUGAGUACAGACGAGGGUGGCGGAAUGGAUGGUGUAGCGGUGAAAUGCAUAGAUACCAUCCAGAACCCCGAUUGCGAAGGCAGCUGCCUAGACUGUUACUGACGCUGAGGCACGAAAAGCGUGGGGAGCGAACAGGAUU
RNAcentral lists this ribosomal RNA (254 nucleotides) under uncultured bacterium. RNAcentral describes it as "partial 16S ribosomal RNA". It matches the Rfam family "Bacterial small subunit ribosomal RNA", at positions 526 to 779 of the family's 1533-position model. The record is from RNAcentral.